This 320-nucleotide ribosomal RNA is filed under the name Alphaproteobacteria bacterium. RNAcentral describes it as "partial 16S ribosomal RNA". The record is from RNAcentral. Lineage: Bacteria; Pseudomonadati; Pseudomonadota; Alphaproteobacteria.
GGAGUUUGGGCCGUGUCUCAGUCCCAAUGUGGCCGAUCAACCUCUCAGUUCGGCUACGCAUCGUCGGCUAGGUAGGCCUUUACCCCACCUACUACCUAAUCUGCCGCGGGCCAAUCCUAAAGCGAUAAAUCUUUCCCCCUCAGGGCGUAUACCGUAUUAUCGUCCGUUUCCAGACGCUAUCCCGUACUUUAGGGCAUGUUCCCACGUGUUACUCACCAGUGCGCUACUCUCUUGCUCAGUGCAAGCACCUCACAAUACCGUUCAACUUGCAUGUGUUAAGCCUGCCGCCAGCGUUCGUUCUGAGCCAUGAUCAAACUACU